This 76-nucleotide transfer RNA is filed under the name Clostridia bacterium. RNAcentral's name for it is "tRNA-Pro". It matches the Rfam family "tRNA". Rfam says of the family: Transfer RNA (tRNA) molecules are approximately 80 nucleotides in length. Lineage: Bacteria; Bacillati; Bacillota; Clostridia. The record is from RNAcentral. RNAcentral also lists the same sequence under 1 other name.
CGGGGUGUAGCGCAGUUGGUAGCGCGCCUGCUUCGGGAGCAGGAGGCCGUGGGUUCAACUCCCGCCACUCCGACCA